CAGUCGCCACGGGAAUACGUAGGGUGCGAGCGUUGAUCGGAAUUACUGGGCGUAAAGCGUGCGCAGGCGGUUAUGUAAGACAGUUGUGAAAUCCCCGGGCUCAACCUGGGAACUGCAUCUGUGACUGCAUAGCUAGAGUACGGUAGAGGGGGAUGGAAUUCCGCGUGUAGCAGUGAAAUGCGUAGAUAUGCGGAGGAACACCGAUGGCGAAGGCAAUCCCCUGGACCUGUACUGACGCUCAUGCACGAAAGCGUGGGGAGCAAACAGGAUUAGAUACCCCUGUAGUCCCUGUCUCUUAUAC
Molecule: ribosomal RNA, 301 nt
Filed under: uncultured bacterium
Lineage: Bacteria
Description: partial 16S ribosomal RNA
Rfam family: Bacterial small subunit ribosomal RNA
Source: RNAcentral